AAACAAUUGAAGAGAUUGAACCAGGUCAUAUUUCUAGUAAGCUCUAAUGACAGGAUGUGCUAGAGCUUUACCAGCCAAUCAAAAUUGCCUAUUUCAAUGAUAUUGUUAUAGGUGCAGUGUGCUGCAGAGUGGAUCAUUCACAGGAUCAGAAGAGACGAGAUCAGAAGAGAAGAGAUGUCUUGCACAUUACCGAAAGCUAGGAAUAGGAACUAAAAUGUUAAAUAAUGCCUUAAAGAUCUGUGGAAAAGAUGGCACUUAUUUUGGCGGGGGGAGUACUGGGCAUUGAACUCAGGCACUGGACCACUGAGCCACAUCCCCAGCCCUAUUUCGUAUUUUAUAUAGAGACAGGGUCUCACUGAGUUGCUUACCUCCCUCCUUACUUUUGCUGAGGUUGAACUUGUGAUCCUCCUAUUCCAGCCUCCCAAGCCAUUGGGAUUACAGGCAUGCACCACUGCACCAGGCAUGAUGGCACUUUUGACAACAUCUGUUUACAUGUUUGGAUCAGCAAUGAGCCAGUAAUUGAUUUCUACAGGAAGUUUGGCUUUGAGACUAUUGAGAUGAAGAAGAACUACUGUAAGAGGAUAGAAACUGCAGAUCAUNUGUAAGUUCCUUAAAUAAUCCAAAUAUAGGCCUAGAAG
Molecule: long non-coding RNA, 638 nt
Filed under: Marmota monax (woodchuck)
Lineage: Eukaryota; Metazoa; Chordata; Mammalia; Rodentia; Sciuridae
Source: RNAcentral